CAACUGAGAUUCCGUAAGUAGUGGCGAGCGAACGCGGAAGAGGCCAAACCGAGAGAAGAAAUUCUUUCGGGGUUCGGACUGCAUUUAGUAUUCUUGAUCUUUAGUCGAACAGUCUGGGAAGGCUGACGAGAGAGUGUGAUAGUCACGUAGACGAAAAGGAGAAAGAGCGAGCAGUAUCCAGAGUACCGCGGGGCACGUGAAAUCCCGUGGGAAGAUGGGGGGACCACCCUCCAAGCCUAAAUACUACCCAAUGACCGAUAGCGUAAAGUACUGUGAAGGAACGGUGAAAAGAACCCCGGGAGGGGAGUGAAAAGAACCUGAAACUCUGUGCUUACAAGCACAUAGAGCACGUCAAUGUGUGAUAUGGUACCUUUUGUAGAAUGGUCCGGCGAGUUAUGGUAUGCAGCGUGGUUAAGGACUUCAGGUCUGAAGCCGAAGCGAGAGCGAGUCUGACAAGGGCGAAAAGUUGUAUGCCAUAGACCCGAAACCGGGUGACCUAGCCAUGUCCAGGCUGAAGUGGAGGUAAAGCUCCAUGGAGGGCCGAACCGACCCCCGUUGAAAAGGUGGCGGAUGAGGUGUGGCUAGCGGAGAAAUUCCAAUCGAACCCGGAUAUAGCUGGUUCUCCCCGAAAUAGCUUUAGGGCUAGCCUCGAAUAUAUUUACCGGAGGUAAAGCACUGAAUGGUCGAGGGGUCGAGAGACUACCAACACCUAUCAAACUAAGAAUACCGGAUAAAUGAGUUCGGGAGUCAGACUACGUGAGAUAAGUCUCGUGGUCAAAAGGGAAACAGCCCAGACCCACAGCUAAGGUCCCUAAUGUAUGCUAAGUGGAAAACGAUGUGGAAUUGCGAAAACAACCAGGAUGUUGGCUUAGAAGCAGCCACUCAUUAAAAGAGUGCGUAAUAGCUCACUGGUCGAGUGACUCUGCGCCGAAAAUUUAACGGGGCUAAACUAUACACCGAAGCUUGGGAUACAUCUAAUGUAUGGUAGGAGAGCGUUCUGUAUGGGGAGAAGUCGUAGCGAAAGCGGCGGUGGACUAUACAGAAGUGAGAAUGCCGGAAUAAGUAGCGAGAAUUAAGUGAGAAUCUUAAUGGCCGAAAGUCUAAGGUUUUUGGAGGAAGGUUCGUCCGCUCCAAGUAAGUCGGGAGCUAAGGUCAGGCCGAAAGGCGUAGCCGAUGCACAUACGGUUGAUAUUCCGUAACCAUCUGUAAUUUAAGCAAAGGGACACUUCAAAAGGGUGUGACCCGGGCGUUGGUUGACCCGGGCGUAAGGGACCGAAAUUAGAGUAGGGAAGCACACUUAGCUGAAGGCGAGAAAAGCUUUGCGUAUAGAAACAGAUGCCCGUACCGCAAACCGACACAGGUGGACAGGAAGAGAAUUCUAAGGCCAGCGGGAGAAGGGUAGUUAAGGAACUCGGCAAAUUGACUCCGUAACUUCGGAAUAAGGAGUGCUCGAAAGAGCCGCAGAGAAUAGGCCCAGGCGACUGUUUAGCAAAAACACAGGUCUCUGCCAAAUCGAAAGAUGAAGUAUAGGGGCUGACACCUGCCCGGUGCCGGAAGGUUAAGAGGAGGAGUGAGAGCUCCGAAUUGAAGCCCCGGUAAACGGCGGCCGUAACUAUAACGGUCCUAAGGUAGCGAAAUUCCUUGUCGGGUAAGUUCCGACCUGCACGAAUGGUGUAAUGAUCUGGACGCUGUCUCAACCGUGAGCUCAGUGAAAUUGUAGUAUCGGUGAAGAUGCCGAUUACCCGCGAUGGGACGAAAAGACCCCGUGAACCUUUACUAUAGCUUAACAUUGAAUUUGGGUAAUUGAUGUGUAGGAUAGGCCGGAGGCUUUGAAGCGGGCACGCCAGUGUCCGUGGAGCCGCUGUUGAAAUACGGCCCUUUGAUUAUUUGAGUUCUAACCCGUUGUUGCGGGGACACUGUUUGGUGGGUAGUUUGACUGGGGUGGUCGCCUCCAAAAGUGUAACGGAGGCUUCUAAAGGUGCCCUCACGACGAUUGGUAACCGUCGGCAGAGUGUAAUGGCAUAAGGGCGCUUGACUGGGAGACUUACAAGUCGAUCAGGUAGGAAACUAGAGCAUAGUGAUCCGGUGUUUCUGUAUGGAAAGGACAUCGCUCAAAGGAUAAAAGGUACUCCGGGGAUAACAGGCUGAUCCCUCCCAAGAGCUCAUAUCGACGGAGGGGUUUGGCACCUCGAUGUCGGCUCGUCACAUCCUGGGGCUGGAGAAGGUCCCAAG
Molecule: ribosomal RNA, 2232 nt
Filed under: human gut metagenome
Description: bacterial LSU rRNA
Rfam family: Bacterial large subunit ribosomal RNA
Source: RNAcentral